GACGAACGCUGGCGGCGUGCCUAAUACAUGCAAGUCGAACGGUUUAGUUCCAAGAGGCUUGCCUUUUGGAACUAGACAGUGGCGGACGGGUGAGUAACACGUAGGCAACCUACCUGUCAAACCGGGAUAACCUCGGGAAACCGAAGCUAAACCCGGAUAAGCUCCUUUUUCGCAUGAAGGGGGAGUGAACAGGUGCGACCUGAUGACAGAUGGGCCUGCGGCGCAUUAGCUAGUAGGUAGGGUAACGGCCUACCUAGGCGAUGAUGCGUAGCCGACCUGAGAGGGCGUACGGUCACACUGGGACUGGGAUACGGCCCAGACUCCUACGGGAGGCAGCAGUAGGGAAUCUACGGCAAUGGGCGAAAGCCUGACCGGGCGACGCCGCGUGAGUGAGGAAGGCCUUCGGGUUGCAAAACUCUGUUGUUUGGGAAGAAGGGAAAGGGUAGGACCCUUAGGUGACGGUACCAAACGAGAAAGCCCCGGCUAACUACGUG
This 494-nucleotide ribosomal RNA is filed under the name uncultured bacterium. RNAcentral's name for it is "partial 16S ribosomal RNA". It matches the Rfam family "Bacterial small subunit ribosomal RNA", at positions 28 to 507 of the family's 1533-position model. The record is from RNAcentral.